This 88-nucleotide transfer RNA is filed under the name Petrachloros mirabilis ULC683. It matches the Rfam family "tRNA". Rfam says of the family: Transfer RNA (tRNA) molecules are approximately 80 nucleotides in length. Their secondary structure includes four short double-helical elements and three loops (D, anti-codon, and T loops). Further hydrogen bonds mediate the characteristic L-shaped molecular structure. tRNAs have two regions of fundamental functional importance: the anti-codon, which is responsible for specific mRNA codon recognition, and the 3' end, to which the tRNAs corresponding amino acid is attached (by aminoacyl-tRNA synthetases). tRNAs cope with the degeneracy of the genetic code in two manners: having more than one tRNA (with a specific anti-codon) for a particular amino acid; and 'wobble' base-pairing, i.e. permitting non-standard base-pairing at the 3rd anti-codon position. Lineage: Bacteria; Bacillati; Cyanobacteriota; Cyanophyceae; Synechococcales; Petrachlorosaceae. RNAcentral also lists the same sequence under 1 other name. The record is from Rfam by way of RNAcentral.
GGAGAGGUGGCAGAGUUGGUCGAUCGCGUCUGACUUGAAAUCAGAUGGGCGUUUGCGCGUCCCGUGGGUUCGAAUCCCACCCUCUCCG